UUGAACGCUGGCGGUAGGCCUAACACAUGCAAGUCGAGCGCUACCUUCGGGUGGAGCGGCGGACGGGUUAGUAACGCGUGGGAAUAUACCCAGUUCUAAGGAAUAGCCACUGGAAACGGUGAGUAAUACCUUAUACGCCCUUCGGGGGAAAGAUUUAUCGGAAUUGGAUUAGCCCGCGUUAGAUUAGAUAGUUGGUGGGGUAAUGGCUCACCAAGGCUACGAUCUAUAGCUGGUCUGAGAGGACGAUCAGCCACACUGGAACUGAGACACGGUCCAGACUCCUACGGGAGGCAGCAGUAGGGAAUCUUGG
Molecule: ribosomal RNA, 310 nt
Filed under: uncultured Rhodobacterales bacterium
Lineage: Bacteria; Pseudomonadati; Pseudomonadota; Alphaproteobacteria; Rhodobacterales
Description: SSU rRNA
Rfam family: Bacterial small subunit ribosomal RNA
Source: RNAcentral